Zea mays is the source of this 2233-nucleotide non-coding RNA. NCBI's taxonomy places the organism in Eukaryota, Viridiplantae, Streptophyta, Magnoliopsida, Poales, Poaceae. The record is from RefSeq and is a predicted model, not a curated record.
CACCUACCCCUCUGUGUAUAUUCCGAACAGGUGCACACGCGACACGAGCGAGACUGCGAGACACAGGCAGCGGAAAAAUAGAGACAAAGAAGGGGCAGGAGCAGUGACCUGCCACACCAGAGGAAACGAGAGAGAGAAAAACAGCCCGAUCUCCUCCUCCCACUCCGAUCGCCCUACCGAUCGCCGCCUCGUGAAGCUUCCCUGUUCCCUCCCCGCCGCCCGCGACGCCAUGGAGCCGCCGCACACCGAGGAGGCCGCCGCUGCUGCAGCAGGAGGAGCAGAGGGCGGCAGCGCAAGCCCGGGCACCGGCCUCGAAGGGCCGAUGCUGAGGCUGGGGCUGGACGGCGGCGGGGAGGGGGAGGACGGGGAGCUGGGGGCUGGGGAGGAGGCGGACACGUGGCUUCCAGAGCGGCCUGGCGAGGCGGACUGUGGCUACUACCUCCGCACGGGCGCCUGCGGCUUCGGGGAGCGCUGCCGCUACAACCACCCUCGCGAUCGUGGCGGCACUGAGUUUGGUGGAGGUGCCAAGAAUGGAGCAGCACAAUACUUUCCAGAACGACAAGGGCAACCUGUAUGUGAGUAUUAUUUGAAGACUGGGACUUGUAAAUUUGGUUCCAAUUGCAAAUAUCACCAUCCUAAGCAAGAUGGAUCUGUGCAAUCUGUUAUAUUAAACAACAAUGGAUUCCCUCUACGCCCGGGUGAGAAAGAAUGCUCCUACUAUAUGAAGACUGGGCAAUGCAAGUUUGGUUCUACAUGUAAAUUUCAUCAUCCAGAAUUUGGUGGUAUUCCGGUAACCCCUGGCAUAUAUCCAGCAUUACAAUCAGCAUCUGUGCCCUCCCCCCUUACAUAUGCUUCAAAUUGGCAAAUGGGAAGGUCACCCGCAGUUCCUGGAUCAUAUAUAGCAGGCUCAUACACUCCAAUGGUGCUCCCAUCUGGAAUGGUUCCAUUGCAAGGAUGGAGCCCUUAUCCGGCACCGGUAAAUCAUGUAGCAUCAGGUGGAGCACAACAAACUAUUCAAGCUGGACCAUUAUAUGGUAUAGGACACCAUGGAUCUUCCACUGCAAUUGCUUAUGGUGGUACAUACUUGCCAUACUCUUCCUCAACUGGACAAUCGAGCAAUAAUCAUCAAGAACAUGGAUUUCCUGAGAGACCAGGGCAGCCUGAGUGUCAAUAUUAUAUGAGGACUGGAGAUUGCAAAUUCGGAACUACAUGUAAAUAUAACCAUCCUCAAGAUUGGAGCACUUCUAAGUCCAAUUACAUGUUCAGUCAUCUCUGCCUUCCGCUUCGUCCGGGUGCUCAGCCUUGCACGUACUAUGCCCAAAAUGGAUAUUGCAGAUAUGGAAUUGCAUGCAAAUAUGAUCACCCAAUGGGUACACUAGGCUACAGUUCAUCUGCUUUACCCCUAUCUGACAUGCCAAUUGCUCCCUACCCUAUGGGCUUCUCUGUUGCGACGUUGGCUCCAUCUCCAUCUUCCCCAGAAUAUAUCUCAACCAAAGAUCCAUCUAUCAACCAAGUAGCAUCACCAGUGGCGGCACCUGAACCUGUUGGAGCAAUCUUGCCAAAAGGGGUAUUCCCUCCGGAUACCAUUAUGCGAACUCAGACUUCUACAAGUGUUGGCAGUUCAAGCCCUGGUGGUGGUCGCUGAUUUUUCUGAGCUGGUGGGAGUGAUCCUAUCAGCACAAUUUUUUUCUGUCACUUGACACAGUUCUGAUAGGCCUUUACAAUGUGAAUAAGAAGCUGUGGCCUCUGUAGAGAAGCCGUGGCGAGGGUGGUUUUCUCUACCAUCAGAAUAAGAGAGCAUUGAUCGGUUACAAGCAAGCUCGAUUCACCUGCAAUUUUUUGCGUUGUUCCGUUCGUGUCCAAAACGGGAAAAGGAAGGUUUUUUUUUUUGGAUGUCAGGUUCUAUAGCAUGUUGGGCGCGGUUGUGAGGCUCCAGGUCCAUUCCCUCGGUAAAUAAUUCUGGGGCAAGAAAGUUUUCGUUGUUAUCAAGAAAAUUUUCACACGCAGAGUUACUGGGUUCCUCCGCCUUUCAAUUUUUUUUGUUCUAUGUAUAUUGUUAUAUAUAUAGUACACACAUAUAUAUCUUCAUCAGACUUGAGACAUGUAAUUACGUAUAUAUAGAUGUUUAUAUUGGGAGCAAGGCGCAUUGUAAUGGACCGAAAAAUGCUGAAUUGAAGAGAUCUUGCUGUCGAUACUGAAAUGGCUGCAUCGAUGAGGCCAACUUGACACUUUA